Molecule: ribosomal RNA, 301 nt
Filed under: uncultured bacterium
Lineage: Bacteria
Description: partial 16S ribosomal RNA
Rfam family: Bacterial small subunit ribosomal RNA
Source: RNAcentral
CAGCAGCCGCGGUAAUACGAGGGGGGCAAGCGUUGUUCGGAAUUAUUGGGCGUAAAGGGUGCGUAGGCGGUUUGAUAAGUCAUCUGCGAAAUCUCUGGGCUCAACCCAGAGUCUGCAGGCGAAACUGACGAGCUUGAGUAUUGGAGAGGUGAGUGGAAUUUCCGGUGUAGCGGUGAAAUGCGUAGAUAUCGGAAGGAACACCUGUGGCGAAAGCGGCUCACUGGACAAUUACUGACGCUGAUGCACGAAAGCUAGGGGAGCAAACAGGAUUAGAUACCCCCGUAGUCCCUGUCUCUUAUAC